This 335-nucleotide unclassified non-coding RNA is filed under the name soil metagenome. Its description in RNAcentral is "partial contains 5.8S ribosomal RNA, internal transcribed spacer 2, and large subunit ribosomal RNA". The stretch from base 1 to 120 matches the Rfam family "5.8S ribosomal RNA", at positions 35 to 154 of the family's 154-position model. The record is from RNAcentral.
GAUGAAGAACGCAGCGAAAUGCGAUAAGUAGUGUGAAUUGCAGAAUUCAGUGAAUCAUCGAAUCUUUGAACUCACAUUGCGCCCUAUGGUAUUCCGUAGGGCAUGCCUGUUCGAGCGUCAUUCAAACCUUCAAGCUCUGCUUGGUGUUGGGCGUCUGUCCUGCCUCACGGCGCGGACUCGCCUCAAAUCUAUUGGCGGCCGGCACGUUGGCUUCGAGCGCAGCAGAAACGCGAACUCGAGACCGGCGGAUCGGCUCCCAGAAGCUACCCCCAUGAAUUUGACCUCGGAUCAGGUAGGGAUACCCGCUGAACUUAAGCAUAUCAAUAAGCGGAGGA